This 22-nucleotide non-coding RNA is filed under the name Arabidopsis thaliana (thale cress). Lineage: Eukaryota; Viridiplantae; Streptophyta; Magnoliopsida; Brassicales; Brassicaceae. The record is from RNAcentral.
UUUUUCCGCUUUCUGCGUUCCA